AACGAACGCUGGCGGCAGGCUUAACACAUGCAAGUCGAACGCCCCGCAAGGGGAGUGGCAGACGGGUGAGUAACGCGUGGGAAUCUACCCAGAUCUACGGAACAACAGAGGGAAACUUCUGCUAAUACCGUAUACGCCCUACGGGGGAAAGAUUUAUCGGAUUUGGAUGAGCCCGCGUAAGAUUAGCUAGUUGGUGGGGUAAUGGCCUACCAAGGCGACGAUCUUUAGCUGGCCUGAGAGGAUGAUCAGCCACACUGGGACUGAGACACGGCCCUGACUCCUACGGGAGGCAGCAGUGGGGAAUAUUGGACAAUGGGCGCAAGCCUGAUCCAGCCAUGCCGCGUGAGUGAUGAAGGCCUUAGGGUUGUAAAGCUCUUUCACCGAUGAAGAUAAUGACGGUAGUCGGAGAAGAAGCCCCGGCUAACCUCGUGCCAGCAGCCGCAGUAA
This 447-nucleotide ribosomal RNA is filed under the name uncultured bacterium. Its description in RNAcentral is "partial 16S ribosomal RNA". It matches the Rfam family "Bacterial small subunit ribosomal RNA", at positions 29 to 523 of the family's 1533-position model. The record is from RNAcentral.